UUCGGGUGAAGAUAAGACGGAUUAGCGGCGGACGGGUGAGUAACACGUGAGUAACCUGCCUUUUACACAGGGAUAGCCUCGGGAAACCGGGAUUAAAACCUGAUGAAACUAUCAAAUCACAUGAUUAAGAAAGUUAAAACUCCGGUGGUAAAAGAUGGACUCGCGUCCCAUUAGCUAGUUGGUGAAGGUAACGGCCCACCAAGGCAACGAUGGGUAGCCGGCCUGAGAGGGUGAACGGCCACAUUGGAACUGAGAAACGGUCCAAACUCCUACGGGAGGCAGCAGCC
This 287-nucleotide ribosomal RNA is filed under the name uncultured Peptoniphilus sp. Its description in RNAcentral is "partial 16S ribosomal RNA". It matches the Rfam family "Bacterial small subunit ribosomal RNA", at positions 76 to 355 of the family's 1533-position model. The record is from RNAcentral. Lineage: Bacteria; Bacillati; Bacillota; Tissierellia; Tissierellales; Peptoniphilaceae.